This 294-nucleotide ribosomal RNA is filed under the name uncultured Pseudomonadaceae bacterium. RNAcentral describes it as "partial 16S ribosomal RNA". It matches the Rfam family "Bacterial small subunit ribosomal RNA", at positions 1093 to 1382 of the family's 1533-position model. Lineage: Bacteria; Pseudomonadati; Pseudomonadota; Gammaproteobacteria; Pseudomonadales; Pseudomonadaceae. The record is from RNAcentral.
CGAGCGCAACCCUUGUCCUUAGUUACCAGCACGUUAUGGUGGGCGACUCUAAGGAGGACUGCCGGUGACAAACCGGAGGAAGGUGGGGAGUGACGUCAAGUCAUCAUGGCCCUUACGGCCUGGGCUACACACGUGCUACAAUGGUCGGUACAAAGGGUUGCCAAGCCGCGAGGUGGAGCUAAUCCCAUAAAAACCGAUCGUAGUCCGGAUCGCAGUCUGCAACUCGACUGCGUGAAGUCGGAAUCGCUAGUAAUCGUGAAUCAGAAUGUCACGGUGAAUACGUUCCCGGGCCUU